CCGGUGGCGGUUCCCGGCAGAGCCCCGGCGGUGGGCGGGGGGAUGCGGGGUCCCCCCCCGCGGUGGGGGUUGGUCUUGUUGGAAAUGAUCCAACUUGCCUCAAAUUGUAGUCAGUGGCAGCAGUUGACCGGGUUUCUUUUCACGGGCUCUUGUCGCUUUGAUCUUUAAAGCACCCAAACUUGGAGUUUCUCUGCACUGGCUCUGAUGAGCUUCCAUAAACAAAGCCCGAGGGAGCUGAAGAUUGGACAUCUGGGAUCUUAAAUUCCUGGUCCUUCAAGGACAUGUUGGAGGAACCAGAAGGUCCAGAGGGGAUUAACAAAGACAUUGCAGUCUGAGAGUUGGAGACUCUGUGUCUGAGGAGGAGUGCUAAGAGGACCAAAGAAAGUGGACCAAAUUAGCCAGUUAAGGAUAGAAUACUGAUUAGAGUCUUAAUUAAUGAAGAUAAUUCCUUAGUUCAUUAAUUGGGGUAAAUUAGAAGCAAUGAACAUUAAUUUGUUUGUUUGUUCAAAUGUAUAAAUGUGUGAAAAGUCUGGAAAGGGACAGGCGUGGCUGGAACGAUUGGCUCCCUGUCUCUGGGAGCCAGAACAAAGCAGUGCCUGGCUCACCAACACUUCCCAGGGGCGUUGGAGGGUUUCAUUUCUUCCCAACGCUUUUCAGGGACAAUUCUUGGUGAGCCAGGUGGGACAAUGCUGUCGACCCUCCAGGGAUUCCGGGACCCUGAGGACUCCAGCGAGCAGUGAAAAUAUUCUUCUGGGAGAUCUCAGUCCCUGGAUCUGGGAUCCUGAGGAGGGUGAAGCCCUUCUGUGCAGGACAUGGAGAUGGUCCCUGGCCUGUCCAAAUGCAUUAAAUGCUGCUGCUGAAGGAGCCCCCCCAGUGAUUUUAUCUGCAUUGACCCCCUGGAGCCCACGGGCACCUGCUCCUGCCUGGACAGAAACCAGGAGCUUCCUUGGACUGGUGUCCCCCAGGAAGGACGUUUUCCCCCCUGUUUCUGAGGCUUUUAAUAGUCUUUGAUCAAUAAAUAUUUCUCCAUGGGA
Long non-coding RNA from Pipra filicauda (Wire-tailed manakin), 1034 nucleotides. RefSeq lists it as uncharacterized. NCBI's taxonomy places the organism in Eukaryota, Metazoa, Chordata, Aves, Passeriformes, Pipridae. The record is from RefSeq and is a predicted model, not a curated record. The transcript is spliced from 2 exons.